RNAcentral lists this ribosomal RNA (175 nucleotides) under uncultured soil bacterium. Its description in RNAcentral is "partial 16S ribosomal RNA". It matches the Rfam family "Bacterial small subunit ribosomal RNA", at positions 338 to 505 of the family's 1533-position model. The record is from RNAcentral.
CCUACGGGAGGCAGCAGUGGGGAAUAUUGGACAAUGGGGGCAACCCUGAUCCAGCAAUGCCGCGUGUGUGAAGAAGGCCUUCGGGUUGUAAAGCACUUUAGGUUGGGAGGAAGGUGAGUAGUUUAAGAGAUGAUUCACUUGACUGUACCGACAGAAUAAGCACCGGCUAACUCUG